UACGUAGGGUCCGAGCGUUGUCCGGAAUUAUUGGGCGUAAAGGGCUCGUAGGCGGUUCGUCACGUCGGGAGUGAAAACUCGGGGCUUAACCCCGAGCCUGCUUCCGAUACGGGCAGACUAGAGGUAGGCAGGGGAGAGCGGAACUCCUGGUGUAGCGGUGGAAUGCGCAGAUAUCAGGAGGAACACCGGUGGCGAAGGCGGGUCUCUGGGCAGUAACUGACGCUGAGGAGCGAAAGCGUGGGGAGCGAACAGG
This 253-nucleotide ribosomal RNA is filed under the name uncultured bacterium. RNAcentral's name for it is "partial 16S ribosomal RNA". It matches the Rfam family "Bacterial small subunit ribosomal RNA", at positions 524 to 776 of the family's 1533-position model. The record is from RNAcentral.